This 381-nucleotide ribosomal RNA is filed under the name uncultured Caldisericum sp. Its description in RNAcentral is "bacterial SSU rRNA". It matches the Rfam family "Bacterial small subunit ribosomal RNA", at positions 994 to 1382 of the family's 1533-position model. The record is from RNAcentral. Lineage: Bacteria; Pseudomonadati; Caldisericota; Caldisericia; Caldisericales; Caldisericaceae.
UCUUGUGGAGCAAUCCACGAGACCCAUACACAGGUGCUGCAUGGUUGUCGUCAGCUCGUGUCGUGAGAUGUACGGUUAAGUCCGUGAACGAGCGCAACCCCUGCCCUUGGUUGCUAAUAUGCGAAAGCAUAUGCACUCUAAGGGGACCGCCAGCGGAAAGCUGGAGGAAGGUGGGGAUGACGUCAAAUCCUCAUGGCCUUUAUGUCCAGGGCUACACACAUGCGACAAUGGUCGAGACAACGCGUUGCAAACCAGUAAUGGUAAGCUAAUCGCAUAAAAUCGACCUCAGUACGGAUUGAGGGUUGCAAUUCACCCUCAUGAAGCUGGAGUUGCUAGUAACCGCAGGUCAGCUAUACUGCGAUGAAUACGUUCCCGGGGCUU